CUACGGGGUGCUGCAGUGAGGAAUCUUGCGCAAUGGGCGAAAGCCUGACGCAGCAACGCCGCGUGAGUGAUGAAGGCCUUCGGGUCGUAAAGCUCUGUCAAGUGGGAAGAACCUGCAUCUUGAUAAUACCAGGGUGUACUGACGGUACCACUGAAGGAAGCACCGGCUAACUCCGUGCCAGCAGCCGCGGUAAUACGGAGGGUGCAAGCGUUAUUCGGAAUUAUUGGGCGUAAAGGGCGCGCAGGCGGCCGUUUAAGUCAGAUGUGAAAUCCCGGGGCUUAACCCCGGAAGUGCAUUUGAUACUGGAUGGCUAGAGUAUGGGAGAGGGAAGUGGAAUUCCUGGUGUAGAGGUGAAAUUCGUAGAUAUCAGGAGGAACACCGGUGGCGAAGGCGACUUCCUGGACCAAUACUGACGCUGAGGCGCGAAGGCGUGGGGAGCAAACAGGAUUAGAUACCCGUGUAGUC
This 465-nucleotide ribosomal RNA is filed under the name uncultured bacterium. RNAcentral describes it as "partial 16S ribosomal RNA". It matches the Rfam family "Bacterial small subunit ribosomal RNA", at positions 339 to 795 of the family's 1533-position model. The record is from RNAcentral.